AUUGAACGCUGGCGGCAGGCUUAACACAUGCAAGUCGAACGAGUGGCGGAUGGGUGAGUAAUGCCUGGGAAUCUAGCUUAUGGAGGGGGAUAACUACGGGAAACUGUAGCUAAUACCGCGUACCAUAGGAUGAGCCUAAGUGGGAUUAGGUAGUUGGUGGGGUAAAGGCUCACCAAGCCGACGAUCUCUAGCUGGUCUGAGAGGAUGACCAGCAGCACUGGGACUGAGACACGGCCCAGACUCCUACGGGAGGCAGCAGUGGGGAAUAGUGCGCAAUGGGGACAAGCUGACGCAGCCAUGCCGCGUGAGUGAAGAAGGCCUUCGGGUUGUAAAGUGCUUUCGGUAGCGAAGCGUUACCUACAGAAGAAGCACCGGCUAACUCCGUGCCAGCAGCCGCGGUAAUAC
RNAcentral lists this ribosomal RNA (405 nucleotides) under uncultured bacterium. RNAcentral describes it as "partial 16S ribosomal RNA". It matches the Rfam family "Bacterial small subunit ribosomal RNA", at positions 30 to 526 of the family's 1533-position model. The record is from RNAcentral.